CGCAGGGCCCGUGGGUGGGGCCUGGGGACCCGGCCCUGCCCUCGCGCACCCUCCAGACCCGCCACUUCUUAGCUAGCGAGCGGCCGCCUCCCCGCCCUCCUUUCAGCCACUCGCUCCGCGCAGUCAGCUCUGCUGACUCUUCCGGAGGAUUCUGGAAGGUUCCAGAGGGUGUGCCGCCGAGGCCCUGCGAGAGGGCUUUCCCUGGGGAGAACAUUCCAGAGCAAGCUGCAGACGAGCCGGGACCCCGUUGGCAGCCGUGCCGCGCCCCUGGGAGCUGCUGUGAGGAGCCCACACGCCAUCGCCGAACCCCGACUCCAGCUCAGAAGAUCCGGCACAGGCGCGGGGGCGGCGGGCAUAGUCUCCCCAGGAGGCCAAG
This 376-nucleotide long non-coding RNA is filed under the name Gorilla gorilla gorilla (western lowland gorilla). RNAcentral's name for it is "lncRNA (ENSGGOG00000044615.1)". Lineage: Eukaryota; Metazoa; Chordata; Mammalia; Primates; Hominidae. The record is from RNAcentral.